CAGGCACCUAACCCCAGGGCCGGCUGUUUGUGGUAGCAGCAGUUUAAGCAGAAGGUGCUGACAGCAACAAGAUCUUGUUGCCUUUGGGGGCUGUAGCUGUGUCCCUCCAAGUGAAUUGGGAGGUUCUAUACCU
This is a small nucleolar RNA of Pteronotus mesoamericanus, 133 nucleotides long. RefSeq annotates it as small nucleolar RNA SNORA68. The record is from RefSeq and is a predicted model, not a curated record. NCBI's taxonomy places the organism in Eukaryota, Metazoa, Chordata, Mammalia, Chiroptera, Mormoopidae. The transcript has a single exon.